This 253-nucleotide unclassified non-coding RNA is filed under the name uncultured Verrucomicrobiota bacterium. RNAcentral describes it as "uncultured Verrucomicrobia bacterium contains 16S-23S intergenic spacer region". It matches the Rfam family "Bacterial small subunit ribosomal RNA", at positions 524 to 776 of the family's 1533-position model. Lineage: Bacteria; Pseudomonadati; Verrucomicrobiota. The record is from RNAcentral.
CACGGAGGCCCCGAGCGUUGUUCGGAUUUACUGGGCGUAAAGCGUGCGUAGGCGGCGAGGUAAGUCAGAUGUGAAAUCUCGGGGCUCAACCCCGAAACUGCAUCCGAUACUGCCUUGCUAGAGGACUGGAGAGGAGUUUGGAAUAGGCGGUGUAGCAGUGAAAUGCGUGGAUAUCGUCUGGAAGACCAAUGGCGAAGGCAGAACUCUGGACAGUUCCUGACGCUCAGGCACGAAGGCUAGGGGAGCGAAAAGG